This 72-nucleotide transfer RNA is filed under the name Alistipes sp. Its description in RNAcentral is "tRNA-Arg". It matches the Rfam family "tRNA". Rfam says of the family: Transfer RNA (tRNA) molecules are approximately 80 nucleotides in length. Lineage: Bacteria; Pseudomonadati; Bacteroidota; Bacteroidia; Bacteroidales; Rikenellaceae. The record is from RNAcentral.
GGUCCCGUAGUUCAAUGGAUAGAAUAUCAGAUUCCGGUUCUGACGGUACAGGUUCGAUUCCUGUCGGGAUCA